CUUGCAUCGAUGGGGUCCCUCAGCCUGGCUUGCAUCCUCUUGCAAUCCAGGACCCCUCAGGGGAUGUCAAGGAGCCGGUUUUGGCACGAUCCCGCCCGCGGGCCAGGCUGAGGGACCCCACUGGUGCAUG
This 130-nucleotide microRNA precursor is filed under the name Myotis lucifugus (little brown bat). RNAcentral describes it as "mir-9193 microRNA precursor family". It matches the Rfam family "mir-9193 microRNA precursor family". The record is from Rfam by way of RNAcentral. Lineage: Eukaryota; Metazoa; Chordata; Mammalia; Chiroptera; Vespertilionidae.